This is a transfer RNA of 73 nucleotides. It matches the Rfam family "tRNA". Rfam says of the family: Transfer RNA (tRNA) molecules are approximately 80 nucleotides in length. Their secondary structure includes four short double-helical elements and three loops (D, anti-codon, and T loops). The record is from Rfam.
UCCCGAUUAGUCUACGCGGUUAGGAUGGCUGACUCUCACUCAGCAGAACUGGGUUCGACUCCCAGAUCGGGAG